AUUGAACGCUGGCGGCAGGCCUAACACAUGCAAGUCGAACGAGUGGCGGACGGGUGAGUAAUGUCUGGGAAACUGCCCGAUGGAGGGGGAUAACUACUGGAAACGGUAGCUAAUACCGCAUACCAUCGGAUGUGCCCAGAUGGGAUUAGCUAGUAGGUGGGGUAACGGCUCACCUAGGCGACGCUCCCUAGCUGGUCUGAGAGGAUGACCAGACACCCGGGAAAUGGGACACGGUCCAGACUCCUACGGGAGGCAGCAGUGGGGAAUAUGGCACAAGGGGCGCAAGCCUGAUGCAGCAAGGCCGCGUGUAUGAAGAAGGCCUUCGGGUUGUAAAGUACUGUCAGCGGGGAGGCGUUACCCGCAGAAGAAGCACCGGCUAACUCCGUGCCAGCAGCCGCGGUAAUAC
This 406-nucleotide ribosomal RNA is filed under the name uncultured bacterium. RNAcentral's name for it is "partial 16S ribosomal RNA". It matches the Rfam family "Bacterial small subunit ribosomal RNA", at positions 29 to 526 of the family's 1533-position model. The record is from RNAcentral.